Molecule: ribosomal RNA, 253 nt
Filed under: uncultured prokaryote
Description: partial 16S ribosomal RNA
Rfam family: Bacterial small subunit ribosomal RNA
Source: RNAcentral
UACGUAGGUGGCAAGCGUUGUUCGGAAUUAUUGGGCGUAAAGGGCGCGUAGGCGGUUUGUUAAGUCGGCUGUGAAAGCCCGGGGCUCAACCCCGGAGGGUCAGCCGAUACUGGCAGACUAGAGUACGGAAGAGGUAGCUGGAAUUCCCGGUGUAGCGGUGAAAUGCAUAGAUAUUGUCAAGAACACCAAUUGCGAAGGCAGCUUACUAAAGUAUAACUGACGCUGAGGCACGAAAGUGCGGGGAUCAAACAGG